GACGAACGCUGGCGGCGUGCUUAACACAUGCAAGUCGAACGGAAAGGCCCUGCUUUUGUGGGGUGCUCGAGUGGCGAACGGGUGAGUAACACGUGAGUAACCUGCCCUUGACUUUGGGAUAACUUCAGGAAACUGGGGCUAAUACCGGAUAGGAGCUCCUGCUGCAUGGUGGGGGUUGGAAAGUUUCGGCGGUUGGGGAUGGACUCGCGGCUUAUCAGCUUGUUGGUGGGGUAGUGGCUUACCAAGGCUUUGACGGGUAGCCGGCCUGAGAGGGUGACCGGCCACAUUGGGACUGAGAUACGGCCCAGACUCCUACGGGAGGCAGCAGUGGGGAAUAUUGCACAAUGGGCGGAAGCCUGAUGCAGCAACGCCGCGUGCGGGAUGACAGCCUUCGGGUUGUAAACCGCUUUCGCCUGUGACGAAGCGUGAGUGACGGUAAUGGGUAAAGAAGCACCGGCUAACUACGUGCCAGCAGCCGCGGUGAUACGUAGGGUGCGAGCGUUGUCCGGAUUUAUUGGGCGUAAAGGGCUCGUAGGUGGUUGAUCGCGUCGGAAGUGUAAUCUUGGGGCUUAACCCUGAGCGUGCUUUCGAUACGGGUUGACUUGAGGAAGGUAGGGGAGAAUGGAAUUCCUGGUGGAGCGGUGGAAUGCGCAGAUAUCAGGAGGAACACCAGUGGCGAAGGCGGUUCUCUGGGCCUUUCCUGACGCUGAGGAGCGAAAGCGUGGGGAGCGAACAGGCUUAGAUACCCUGGUAGUCCACGCUGUAAACGGUGGGUACUAGGUGCGGGGUCCAUUCCACGGGUUCCGUGCCGUAGCUAACGCUUUAAGUACCCCGCCUGGGGAGUACGGCCGCAAGGCUAAAACUCAAAGGAAUUGACGGGGCCCCGCACAAGCGGCGGAGCAUGCGGAUUAAUUCGAUGCAACGCGUAGAACCUUACCUGGGUUUGACAUGGAUCGGGAGCGCUCAGAGAUGGGUGUGCCUCUUUUGGGGUCGGUUCACAGGUGGUGCAUGGCUGUCGUCAGCUCGUGUCGUGAGAUGUUGGGUUAAGUCCCGCAACGAGCGCAACCCUUGUUCACUGUUGCCAGCACGUUAUGGUGGGGACUCAGUGGAGACCGCCGGGGUCAACUCGGAGGAAGGUGGGGAUGACGUCAAGUCAUCAUGCCCCUUAUGUCCAGGGCUUCACGCAUGCUACAAUGGCUGGUACAGAGAGUGGCGAGCCUGUGAGGGUGAGCGAAUCUCGGAAAGCCGGUCUCAGUUCGGAUUGGGGUCUGCAACUCGACCUCAUGAAGUCGGAGUCGCUAGUAAUCGCAGAUCAGCAACGCUGCGGUGAAUACGUUCCCGGG
This 1343-nucleotide ribosomal RNA is filed under the name uncultured bacterium. RNAcentral's name for it is "16S ribosomal RNA". It matches the Rfam family "Bacterial small subunit ribosomal RNA", at positions 28 to 1378 of the family's 1533-position model. The record is from RNAcentral.